This 279-nucleotide ribosomal RNA is filed under the name uncultured bacterium. RNAcentral's name for it is "partial 16S ribosomal RNA". It matches the Rfam family "Bacterial small subunit ribosomal RNA", at positions 506 to 784 of the family's 1533-position model. The record is from RNAcentral.
UGCCAGCCGCCGCGGUAAUACAGAGGGUGCGAGCGUUAAUCGGAAUUACUGGGCGUAAAGGGUGCGUAGGUGGUUUAAUAAGUCAGAUGUGAAAGCCCUGGGCUUAACCUAGGAAUGGCAUUUGAAACUAUUAGACUAGAGUACAGUAGAGGGAAGUGGAAUUUCCGGUGUAGCGGUGAAAUGCGUAGAUAUCGGAAGGAACACCAGUGGCGAAGGCGGCUUCCUGGACUGUUACUGACACUGAGGCACGAAAGCGUGGGGAGCGAACAGGAUUAGAUA